AUACGGAGGGGGCUAGCGUUGUUCGGAAUUACGGGGCGUAAAGGGCGCGUAGGCGGACUAUCAAGUCAGGGGUGAAAGGCCUGGGAUCAACCCGGGAACUGCCUUUGAAACUGAAAGUCUAGAGACCGAGAGAGGAUAGCGGAAUUCCCAGUGUAGAGGUGAAAUUCGUAGAUAUUGAGAAGAACACCAGUGGCGAAGGCGGCUAUCUGGCUCGGUACUGACGCUGAGGCGCGAAAGCGUGGGGAGCAAACAGGAUUAGAAACCCCAGUAGUCC
RNAcentral lists this ribosomal RNA (274 nucleotides) under uncultured bacterium. Its description in RNAcentral is "partial 16S ribosomal RNA". It matches the Rfam family "Bacterial small subunit ribosomal RNA", at positions 523 to 796 of the family's 1533-position model. The record is from RNAcentral.